This 324-nucleotide ribosomal RNA is filed under the name uncultured Bacillota bacterium. Its description in RNAcentral is "bacterial SSU rRNA". It matches the Rfam family "Bacterial small subunit ribosomal RNA", at positions 28 to 351 of the family's 1533-position model. The record is from RNAcentral. Lineage: Bacteria; Bacillati; Bacillota.
GACGAACGCUGGCGGCACGCCUAACACAUGCAAGUCGAGCGGAUAUAUGAGCUUGCUCAUAUAUUAGCGGCGGACGGGUGAGUAACACGUGAGGAACCUGCCCUACAGAGGGGGAUAACGUUUGGAAACGAACGCUAAUACCACAUAACGUAUUUUUAUGGCAUCAUAGAAAUACCAAAGGAGAAAUCCGCUGAAGGAUGGCCUCGCGUCUGAUUAGCUAGUUGGAGAGGUAAUGGCUCACCAAGGCGACGAUCAGUAGCCGGACUGAGAGGUUGAACGGCCACAUUGGGACUGAGACACGGCCCAGACUCCUACGGGUGGCAG